AUUGAGAUCAGUUUUGGAAAAUGGGAAAGGGGGAUGUGAAAAAAAAGGGGGGGUAAAUUUUUCUCAUUUCAGAUUUCAUAAAUAAAAAGAAAAUUUCUUCAAACAUUUUUUUGAGAGGAUUAAUAUUCAACAGCAUAGUGAAUUCCUCAAAGGCAAAAAAAAUGUUUUAAGUUCAUUUGACCACAGUCAUUCUGUGUCCGAAACCUAUGCUGUGUCAACUAUUUAAUCACAAUCCAAAUUUAGAGCUGAAUCCAGCUUGAAUGUUGUGUCCAUACUUGCCCCA
Molecule: long non-coding RNA, 283 nt
Filed under: Mytilus galloprovincialis (Mediterranean mussel)
Lineage: Eukaryota; Metazoa; Mollusca; Bivalvia; Mytilida; Mytilidae
Source: RNAcentral